Molecule: long non-coding RNA, 842 nt
Organism: Gambusia affinis (western mosquitofish)
Lineage: Eukaryota; Metazoa; Chordata; Actinopteri; Cyprinodontiformes; Poeciliidae
Exons: 4
Source: RefSeq, a predicted model, not a curated record
GUGAAGUGUCUCUAAGAGGGGCAGAAAGUAACAGUUGCGGAUUAGCGUGAUGUUCAAGCAGCUCACACCUGUCCCCCUCCUCUCAGCUCCAGUCGGUCAUAGCAGGUGGCUGCUGGUACUGAGCCUGGUUCUGGUUCUGCUGGAGGUUUCUUCCUGGUUGAGGGGAGUUCUUCCUCUCCACUGUCGCUACAUGCAUGCUCUGUAUGAGGGACCGCUGUAAAGUCAGUGACUCAACAGAAGUGAUUUUCUGUCGCCCCCUGCUGGUCAGAUGGAGUGAAUGCUAAGACGAAGACUUCUUUCCUUGGGUCCUCCACUCAGCCGCUUCUUUCUUCUCAGAAGAAUUUCAUCAGGUGUCCCACAGCAGCUUGAUAGAAUCAGACUCAAGUACUGUCAGUAAUGAGCCGACCAGGUCGCCAGUGUAUCGCUGCGACUCUCUCAACUGAGGUGCCAUUGGUGGGGGAGAUUUGAGAUCAAACAGCCUGAAAACGGCCUCAACUGUUGAGUUUGAGUCUCUACGUCACACUGAGUCGAUGGACACUGGAAGAGAGGAGACACGGCGAGCUUUUCCUGCUGGGCAGAUCUGAGAAAAGAAAAUGAGGAUUUAACAAUUUCCUGAUGAAAAGCUGCUUUCUGACCCAGAUGAACUCCGUCCAUCCAUCCAUCUAACCUGGUUCUCUCCAUCCAUCCAUCCUGGUUCCCUUCCAUUCUUUGGAAUUAUGUGACCAUUUUGAUUUCUUUACAGGGAUGUUCUCACAAUCUGUUAAAAGAAAUAUGAAUAUAACCAGAACAUCCUGGAAGUGAAUGUGGAGAUUUGACAUUAAGAUUUCUUUGUGAUGACAGAA